GUUAGGAAUAUUGGACAAUGGGCGAAAGCCUGAUCCAGCCAUGCCGCGUGAACGAUGAAGGCCUUCGGGUUGUAAAGUUCUUUAGCCGAUGAUUAUAAUGACUGUAGUCGGAAAAUAAGCCCCGGCUAACUUCGUGCCAGCAGCCGCGGUAAUACGAAGGGGGCGAGCGUUAUUCGGAAUCACUGGGCGUAAAGCGUGCGUAGGCGGUUUUGUAAGUUAGGAGUGAAAGCCCAGGGCUCAACCUUGGAAUUGCUCUUAAAACUGCAAGGCUCGAAUCUCGGAGAGGAUAGCGGAAUUUCCAGUGUAGCAGUGAAAUGCGUAGAUAUUGGAAGGAACACCAGUGGCGUAAGCGGCUAUCUGGACGAGUAUUGACGCUGAGGCACGAAAGCGUGGGGAUCAAACAGGAUUAGAAACCCCAGUAGUCC
RNAcentral lists this ribosomal RNA (425 nucleotides) under uncultured bacterium. RNAcentral describes it as "partial 16S ribosomal RNA". It matches the Rfam family "Bacterial small subunit ribosomal RNA", at positions 354 to 796 of the family's 1533-position model. The record is from RNAcentral.